Pteropus alecto (black flying fox) is the source of this 626-nucleotide long non-coding RNA. RefSeq lists it as uncharacterized. NCBI's taxonomy places the organism in Eukaryota, Metazoa, Chordata, Mammalia, Chiroptera, Pteropodidae. The record is from RefSeq and is a predicted model, not a curated record. The transcript is spliced from 3 exons.
CGACAGCUGUCAGCAAGACACAGCCAUGAGGGGGCGGGCACAGCCCACGGGGGUGCAGCCCAGACACCCCACCCUGGAGAUGGUGCUUCGAGCGGAGGACACCCUGCGGCCAGCCCUCGCCACACGAGGCCGGAGAAGCCCCAGUUCAAUCCCUGAGCGAGGUCAGUUCCCACGUCCUCCAUUGCAACGGGGGCAAUGCCAGAAGCAACGACCAAGCCAGCGCCACAGGACACCACACAGGCGUGGGUGGGGCACUGGUGGCGUGAGUGAGGAGGCUCACGCCAAACCGGAGCUGCCCGACUGGCCCAGAGCCCGUCCACGUGGACGGGGAGCCGCCACCCACCUUCUUGACUUGCUGGCACCAGUCGUCAAAAUCGUCCUCGGUCUGGCAGAAAAACCCCUGGAAUGAGAGCGUGCCAACCGUCCUCAGUUCCCUGGCCUCUGCCCCUCUCCGCCAGCGCCGUCCACGGCUGGACCUCGGGCCCCUGCCCCGCCUGCCAGCCCCAGGGGUGCCACCACGAGGACCGGGCACUCACCGACGUAGCCGAUGAAGUAGUGGGCACUAUUGGGCUUGCCUCCGAUCACGCCCAGGGACUGCGGCAUCAUGAAGCAGUGCUGGCGGAGGG